AUGCACUCCGCCACGACGACGUCCGAAAAUCUUGAAAGUUGCAGUGAGAAGAUGGUAGACAGAAUCAGCAACCUUCCAGACGAAGUUGCUCAUAACAUUCUUGCCUUCCUUGACAUAACAGACCUCACUCGUUGCGGCUGUGUCUCCAAAAGAUGGAGAGAACUUUAUCUGUCAACUCCUUCACUGGAUUUUGAUGGGUUUUCUGAUGCAAUGCAAAUACAUCCACCUGCUCAAAGCGGUUAAUGUUGUUGAGUUCUUUGGAUAGGUUUUUAUUGCUGCAUUGUGCGGUUAAUAAGAUACAGCGCUUCCGUAUUUGUUGGAAUAAUUUGCUUUCAGAAGAAAAUCCAUGUUUCAUUGAAGAUGUGAGGUUUCGAGUUAUUACGUGGAUCCACAAUGCUCUGAGGUGUAAAGUUGAAGUUCUUGAGGUUGACGUCAUAGUAUUUGAAGUGAGACCUUAUUUGUUACCAUCGUCUGUCUUUCUUUGUGGAUCUUUGAGGUCUCUAUUGCUCAACAGUAUUAGUUUGAUUCUUAAAGCACCCUCACUUGCUUCUUCCUCUAAUCUUGAAUGCUUGAAGUUGGAAUUUGUUGAUAUAGAAGAUGAUGAGGGGUUUUUCAAAUGGAUCUCAUGUUCAUGUAAGUGCAUCAAGGAAUUACAUCUCUGUCAUGUUUCUGGAAUACAACAGGUCAUCAUUGAAAGCCCCCUUUGAAAUCGUUUAGUUUUGUGCAUGACACUGAUUCCGAUCUUUUUCCCUACCUCUUCCUUAGCAUCUCAGGUGAAAAACUUGAAGAGGUACUUAUUGACUGGGAAUUUGGAUCCACUUCCGAGAAUUUUUUAAAUAUUUUUGCUCCAAAUCUUAAAUAUUUGAAAUGGUCGGGGAAUGUAGUGCUUCGAAAAAAAUUGGGGGAAUUUAUGUGUUUAGAAAAAGCUCAGGUUUUUUUAAAGCCUCAAGCGGAUGACGUUAAAAUCUUGUCUGAGGUUCUGCGCAGUAUAACUAUAAACAGGGUUGAAGCUCUUGUUCUAAACAAAGAGACCACCAUGGCUCUGUUACAUGGAGUUUUCGUACCAGGGCUACUGGAGAAUGUUUGUUAUUUGUCUAUUCAUAUUGGAAGCUUUCUUGAUAUCCUAGUCCUAGAAAUGGUCACUAUGUUUGCAGGAAUGUGUAAUUUGAGAACUUUGGAAAUAAAGUCUGACCCACAGUUCCUUGACCUUAAAACUGAUUGUUCUGGUUUUAAUAUGGGAUAUUGGAGAUUGCAAAACCUUGCAUUUAUUCCUCAUCUUAAGGAGGUAACCAUAGAGCUCUCGAAUGGGUCUAACGGAAUUGAGUUAGCAGCGUACAUGCUUGAGUAUGCCCAAAACUUGAAGAAAAUGGUGAUUGUGCAUUCACCCCAGCAAUCUAGUGUUAUAAGGAAGUUAAAUAAAAGCAAGAGGAUUUCCAGUGCCACAGUUGUCUUUCAGGAAGAUCAACAAAGAGGAAACAAAAAGCAAAGACUAAGAUAAUGUAGCUUUACAAGGGCAUCUCUCCUCCUGCAUUGAGCUCAACAACAGCAAUUUUUAGGCAUUUUGUGUUGCAAUGUUGAACUAUGUGUAUUUGACAUGUAAUGUAGGCACUAAACUCUGUUUUGGUCUGUUCUAGUUUAGGCCAUUUUAUCUUGAAACAUUACAAUAUGACUAGAAGUUAGAACUUGAUUG
Non-coding RNA from Prunus avium (sweet cherry), 1690 nucleotides. Lineage: Eukaryota; Viridiplantae; Streptophyta; Magnoliopsida; Rosales; Rosaceae. The record is from RefSeq and is a predicted model, not a curated record.